GUGCCCAACUCUUGGGCAUGCAGAGAAGAAGCAUCCAACUACUUGGGUGCAUGCAAGAAAGAGGACGAGAGGUUUUUGGGGUGUGAGGCUUUUGUGCACUAGGGAGAAUUCCCUUCCACACCAACAUGUUGAACCACUUUAGGGCAUGAACCUCUUCUCAAGAGGUGCGUGAAACACUCUAAGGCAUGAACCUCUUCUCAAGAGGCAUGUGAAACACUCUAGGGCAUGGGAUAGUCCAAAGGGAGAAGGACUCUUAGGCGCUGGUUUCUUUU
Molecule: long non-coding RNA, 272 nt
Filed under: Elaeis guineensis (African oil palm)
Lineage: Eukaryota; Viridiplantae; Streptophyta; Magnoliopsida; Arecales; Arecaceae
Description: long non-coding RNA (EGUI_LNC018344)
Source: RNAcentral